RNAcentral lists this long non-coding RNA (222 nucleotides) under Mytilus galloprovincialis (Mediterranean mussel). The record is from RNAcentral. Lineage: Eukaryota; Metazoa; Mollusca; Bivalvia; Mytilida; Mytilidae.
AUCAUCGAAUGUCGAUAGACUAUUGUAUACCAGAAGAAGAAGAAAAAGAAGAAGAAGAAGAGAACCAAUUUGAUUUAAAUACAGGUCGAUGUAUAACUUUUGCUUUUGGUUCAUUGAAGUUGUGGACAUAGUAAAAUCACAGAUUUAUAUUUCAAUAAGAUUGUUCUCGAAAAAAGGAAGGAAUUCGUCAUCACAAUUGUUAUAUAUGCCACUGGACGAACA